GCGCUCUGACCUGAGACCUCUGGGUUCUGAGCUGUGACGUUCCUUCCAAGCUGGGAUCUCUGGGGUCUUGGUUCAGGGUCG
This 81-nucleotide microRNA precursor is filed under the name Ursus americanus (American black bear). RNAcentral describes it as "mir-769 microRNA precursor family". It matches the Rfam family "mir-769 microRNA precursor family". Lineage: Eukaryota; Metazoa; Chordata; Mammalia; Carnivora; Ursidae. RNAcentral also lists the same sequence under 1 other name. The record is from Rfam by way of RNAcentral.